Molecule: long non-coding RNA, 966 nt
Organism: Brienomyrus brachyistius
Lineage: Eukaryota; Metazoa; Chordata; Actinopteri; Osteoglossiformes; Mormyridae
Exons: 3
Source: RefSeq, a predicted model, not a curated record
GGCUACUGUUUUUAGUUUUCUGCACAACUAAAGUCAUGGACCUUGCAAAACCCAUCGUCUACUUCCCAUGAUGAAUUUUGACCUAACAAUAGCCCCAUGCCUAUUUUAUGUAUAUAGUAUUUAACAGCCCCGCCAUUGGUAUUGGCUGACAGCAGAGGAAGGCGGAACCCAAGGUGUAUUCUGGGAAACGCUUCUGUCAAGGCGCACCAGGGACUUAAAUAAUAUGGACACACUAAAAUCAGCACCAAAGCUGCAGAAAAGUAAACACUGAAGUGUCCCCGGGAAACUGGAUCACACUGCAUUCCAUCACAGCAUACUAAUGCCAGCUCCGUCUUGACGUGAGGACCAUGCGGACAUUUGUUAAAGCUCAAAUGGAAACAUAUUUUUUCUGAAAAAUCUCCCGCAGAAGAGAAGACACUGGGAAUUAAUUCUGCAUGCAUGUUGACGUUUGUCGACUGGGACAAGGUCAGAUCCAGCACUUGGCAGGUGGCAGAGGGACUUCUGUAACACUUCUGUAAGGACAUUCUGCCUAAGGAGCUGACAUACUAUCCAUGGAUAAGUCUUAAACAUUCCAAUGUGUUCUCAAUGCAUGUAACCUGUGUCAGUGGUACCAAUAGAGUCACUUCCAGAUUGUUGCAUCUUCUCUUUCAAAUCAUUUCAGAGAUGUGAAGACAUACAUCUAAAAAAUAAUCAUUUGCGAUUAAGAGUCACUGAACAUCUCUGAUAAUUAAGUGUACAUGUGUUUCGCAUUAAUUCAGUUUAGCUUUUCUGCAUUUAUAAGUAGUGGGAUUCAGAUACGUUAUUUCAUAGACGUUUCUAAAAUGCACCAUCACAUGCUUAAUAAUACGUAGUGUGUUUUUAUUGUAUAUUAAUAUGAGAUCAAUGCAAAUUCUUUGGUCUUUAUUAAUAGAAAAGAGUCUCACACCUUUCAUAUUGUUAGCAGGGUUUUUAACAUUCAGAAGAAAU